Molecule: transfer RNA, 85 nt
Organism: Moniliophthora roreri MCA 2997
Lineage: Eukaryota; Fungi; Basidiomycota; Agaricomycetes; Agaricales; Marasmiaceae
Rfam family: tRNA
About the family: Transfer RNA (tRNA) molecules are approximately 80 nucleotides in length.
Source: Rfam
GGCCGACUAGCUCAGUUGGUUAGAGCGUCGUGCUAAUAUUGUUAUAUUAACGCGAAGGUCUUGGGUUCGAUCCCCACGUUGGCCA